RNAcentral lists this unclassified non-coding RNA (749 nucleotides) under Hevea brasiliensis (rubber tree). The record is from RNAcentral. Lineage: Eukaryota; Viridiplantae; Streptophyta; Magnoliopsida; Malpighiales; Euphorbiaceae.
AUUUCGACCAAUCUUGCUUCGUCUGCACCCAUAUCUGCACUUUACACCUUUACAUACGAAUCAGUUAAAGGGGCCUUACUACCUCUUUUUCCUAAGGAAUGCCACUCUUUUGCACACUGCUUGGCUGGGGGUUCUGCAAGCAUUGCCACUUCAUUCAUUUUCACUCCGAGUGAGCGCAUUAAACAACAGAUGCAAGUGGGCUCCCACUAUAAGAACUGCUGGAGUGCCUUAAUUGUGAUUACAAGAAGUGGUGGUUUGCCUUCUCUGUAUGCUGGAUGGAAAGCUGUACUCUGGAGGAAUAUUCCACACUCAAUCAUUAAGUUCUAUACAUAUGAAAGAUUGAAGGAGUUGAGGUUAUCAUCAGUUCAACUACGCAACCAAAAUGACACACUAAUGACACUUGCCUGUGGAGGAUUAGCUGGCUCUACUGCUGCACUAUUCACAACUCCCUUUGAUGUUGUCAAGACAAGAUUACAGACACAGAUUCCUGGAUCUAUGACUCAGUUUGGUGUAUUCGGCACACUUCAAGAAAUUGCAAAACGUGAAGGUUUGAAGGGUCUCUACAGGGGCUUGAGUCCUAGAUUGAUCAUGUAUAUGACCCAGGGAGCACUUUUUUUUGCAUCUUAUGAAUCUUUCAAGAAGAUAUUUUCUUUGGAUAUCCCGCAGCCUAAAACAGAAACAGUUCCAUAUGAACAUAAGGAAGAUGAUCAUGCAACGUUGCCUUCACGAAGCUAACAAAGGAAACAUCA